This is a long non-coding RNA of Amaranthus tricolor (Joseph's coat), 937 nucleotides long. RefSeq lists it as uncharacterized. The transcript is spliced from 4 exons. The record is from RefSeq and is a predicted model, not a curated record. Lineage: Eukaryota; Viridiplantae; Streptophyta; Magnoliopsida; Caryophyllales; Amaranthaceae.
AACCCAGUAACCCAAAUACCCCAACGUUUCUUCUCCCUCCUCACUCAUUUUAAUUACCCACUAAACCCCUUUCCUUCUUUUUUGCUUUAAUGCUCUAAACCGAUAUUCCCUUCUUCCUCAUUCUCACCGGCAUAAUCAAAGACAACGCGCGUAACUCCUCGAUCCUCUUCUUGCUCUGAUCUUCGAAGGAUUUGGGCUGCAAAAAAUUAGUUAAUUUUCCUCUCUUUCGUGAUUUUUCAAGGAGUGUUGUAGCAGCCGAAAUCUUCCUCCCUUUGCCUCUGAAUUCUGCCGAAAUGGGGAGGAAAUGAGUGAGGUUUGGUCCUGUUUAAACAUCAAGAUUCAAGUUGAAAAACCAAAUUUCGAAAUCUGUUUUUCCAUUUACUUGUUGCUGUCCACAGAGGAGACGACGUCAUCGAGGAACCUUUCUAGUGAUUGCGGAGAAACUGACUUAGCUCCUUGAAGCAUCUUUGUUUGACUACAGAUCGAAACUGACCAGGAACGAUGGGUUAGCGUUGUUGAUUAGAGAAACAAGGAUGUCAUAUUGAGCUGAGCAUCGGGGAAUUUUGUAGUUUUGUAUUAGGUUAUUGGAUAAAUGUAUAUUAGACUUGGUUUUGUUGGUUAUAUUGAACUUAAAGUGAUCUGUACAUUUACCUUGUGUUUUGAUUAAACGUUUGGUUUGAGAAUUAGCUGAGUUAGUUACGUUAAAGAGCUGGUGACCCCCCUUUGCUCAAGUUUUUGGAAGUGUGAUUUAAGUUUCUUGGGGAAAUGAAUUCCGUGAUGACCCUGUUUACUCAGUCAACGGUAAGUUGGGUUGUUACAGGAACAUUCUUAAAAGAAUGAAAGAAGUAUGUAUUAGCAUAACAAAUGAGAUAACAAUGUAUUUCUCAUCCAUAACUAUAUGUACUUUUAUAUCAUCUACAUCUUCUUCAUCCGUUUA